AAUGAACGCUGGCGGCGUGCCUAAUACAUGCAAGUCGAGCGAACGGACGAGAAGCUUGCUUCUCUGAUGUUAGCGGCGGACGGGUGAGUAACACGUGGAUAACCUACCUAUAAUUCUGGGAUAACUUCGGGAAACCGGAGCUAAUACCGGAUAAUAUUUUGUACCGCAUGGUUCAAAAGUGCAUGACGGUCUUGCUGUCACUUAUAGAUGGAUCCGCGCUGCAUUAGCUAGUUGGUAAGGUAACGGCUUACCAAGGCAACGAUGCAUAGCCGACCUGAGAGGAUGAUCGGCCACACUGGAACUGAGACACGGUCCAGACUCCUACGGGAGGCAGCAGUAGGGAAUCUUCCACAAUGGGCGAAAGCCUGACGGAGCAACGCCGCGUGAGUGAUGAAGGUCUUCGGAUCGUAAAACUCUGUUAUUAGGGAAGAACAUAUGUGGAAGUAACUGUGCACAUCUUGACGGUACCUAAUCAGAAAGCCACGGCUAACUACGUG
This 497-nucleotide ribosomal RNA is filed under the name uncultured bacterium. RNAcentral's name for it is "partial 16S ribosomal RNA". It matches the Rfam family "Bacterial small subunit ribosomal RNA", at positions 29 to 507 of the family's 1533-position model. The record is from RNAcentral.